This 467-nucleotide ribosomal RNA is filed under the name uncultured bacterium. RNAcentral describes it as "partial 16S ribosomal RNA". It matches the Rfam family "Bacterial small subunit ribosomal RNA", at positions 28 to 507 of the family's 1533-position model. The record is from RNAcentral.
GAUGAACGCUGGCGGCGCGCCUAACACAUGCAAGUCGAACGAUUAAAGCACCUUCGGGUGUGUAUAAAGUGGCGAACGGCUGAGUAACACGUGGGCAACCUGCCCCUUUCAUUGGGAUAGCCACGGGAAACCGUGGAUAAUACCGAAUACUUCGAGACUUCCGCAUGGAAGACUCGAGCAAGCUCCGGCGGAGAGGGAUGGGCCCGCGGCCUGUUAGCUUGUUGGUGGGGUAACGGCCUACCAAGGCAAUGAUGGGUAGCUGGGUUGAGAGACCGACCAGCCAGAUUGGGACUGAGACACGGCCCAGACUCCUACGGGAGGCAGCAGUGGGGAAUCUUGCACAAUGGGCGAAAGCCUGAUGCAGCGACGCCGCGUGCGGGAUGAAGGCCUUCAGGUUGUAAACCGCUUUCAGCAGGGACGAGGCGAAAGUGACGGUACCUGCAGAAGAAGCCCCGGCUAACUACGUG